Molecule: ribosomal RNA, 465 nt
Filed under: Vreelandella stevensii
Lineage: Bacteria; Pseudomonadati; Pseudomonadota; Gammaproteobacteria; Oceanospirillales; Halomonadaceae
Description: partial 16S ribosomal RNA
Rfam family: Bacterial small subunit ribosomal RNA
Source: RNAcentral
CCUACGGGAGGCUGCAGUGGGGAGUAUUGGACAAUGGGGGGAACCCUGAUCCAGCCAUGCCGCGUGUGUGAAGAAGGCCCUCGGGUUGUAAAGCACUUUCAGUGAGGAAGAACGCCUGGUGGUUAAUACCCAUCAGGAAAGACAUCACUCACAGAAGAAGCACCGGCUAACUCCGUGCCAGCAGCCGCGGUAAUACGGAGGGUGCGAGCGUUAAUCGGAAUUACUGGGCGUAAAGCGCGCGUAGGUGGCUUGAUAAGCCGGUUGUGAAAGCCCCGGGCUCAACCUGGGAACGGCAUCCGGAACUGUCAAGCUAGAGUGCAGGAGAGGAAGGUAGAAUUCCCGGUGUAGCGGUGAAAUGCGUAGAGAUCGGGAGGAAUACCAGUGGCGAAGGCGGCCUUCUGGACUGACACUGACACUGAGGUGCGAAAGCGUGGGUAGCAAACAGGAUUAGAUACCCCUGUAGUC